CCUACGGGAGGCAGCAGUGGGGAAUAUUGUACAAUGGGGGAAACCCUGAUGCAGCGACGCCGCGUGAGUGAAGAAGUAAUUCGUUAUGUAAAGCUCUAUCAGCAGGGAAGAAAAUGACGGUACCUGAGUAAGAAUCUCCGGCUAACUACGUGCCAGCAGCCGAGGUAAUACGUAGGGGGCAAGCGUUAUCCGGAUUUACUGGGUGUAAAGGGAGCGUAGACGGCAGUGCAAGUCUGGAGUGAAAGGGGGGGGCUCAACCCCCGGACUGCUGUGGAAACUGUACGGCUGGAGUGCAGGAGAGGUAAGUGGAAUUCCUAGUGUAGCGGUGAAAUGCGUAGAUAGUAGGAGGAACACCAGUGGCGAAGGCGGCUUACUGGACUGUAACUGACGUUGAGGCUCGAAAGCGUGGGUAGCAAACAGGAUUAGAUACCCUUGUAGUC
This 440-nucleotide ribosomal RNA is filed under the name uncultured bacterium. RNAcentral describes it as "partial 16S ribosomal RNA". It matches the Rfam family "Bacterial small subunit ribosomal RNA", at positions 338 to 795 of the family's 1533-position model. The record is from RNAcentral.